This 319-nucleotide ribosomal RNA is filed under the name uncultured bacterium. RNAcentral describes it as "bacterial SSU rRNA". It matches the Rfam family "Bacterial small subunit ribosomal RNA", at positions 28 to 329 of the family's 1533-position model. The record is from RNAcentral.
AGCGAACGCUGGCGGCGUACUUAACACAUGCAAGUCGAACGGAGGAUCGCUACGUGAGCAAUCAUGCGGCGGUUCUAGUGGGCGUACGGGUGAGUAACACGUGGGCAACCUGCCCUGGAGCCUGGGAUACCCUCCCGAAAGGGAGGCUAAUACCGGAUACGUUCCCCGGGUCGCGAGAUCUGGGGAGGAAAGGUGGCGCAAGCUGCCGCUCUUGGAGGGCUCGCGGCCUAUCAGCUAGUUGGUGAGGUAAUGGCUCACCAAGGCUAUGACGGGUAGCUGGUCUGAGAGGACGACCAGCCACACGGGGACUGAGACACGG